AGCCUUUUCCAAUUCUACCUGCCAACCUUGUUACUGGACGAUCGCUGUCACCAUUGAAUAGCUCCGUCACCAAUUAGCCCCUACUCUCGAAACACCACACCGAUGUCGGAAACAUCUUUGGAAAAUGGCAUCAUUUCAAACUCGCUAGCUAUAAUGCACCGACACUUUAGAAAACCUGACAUGUUCUGUCCGAUAUUUUCCGACACUAAAUCGUGCUAUUUCUGUGUAUUGAGUUGCAGAGAACAUGGCUUCAGUAGUGCCUCUGAAUCAGCCUGGAUAGAUUUUCCCGUAGAGAACGCAUACUCAGGAGUAUCGCGUCGUCUCGCAAACUGACCAAAGAAACUCACCAGAACCUCAAUGAUUCAAGGAAUGAUUCCAACAAUUUAUGCAAAUCCUAGCCGCCUACGAGAAGCGUGUGCAGUGGCAUGAAGUUGGUGAGAAGGUUUCAGCUUGUGGCAUGAAACUGGAAAGCAAAAAGCAAGCUAUGGGCGUCAGAGUCAGAGUGAGAGAGCGGUUUGUGGACGCACAAAAUUUAGCAGCGUUUGCGUUUGCGUUUGCGUGUGAGAGUGAGUGAGUGAGUUUUCAAUUUGACAUUUAUACCCUCUUUGAUCUUCAUCUUCAUCUUCUCUCCGUUUCCAUGGCGCCUGCUAUGAGGAUCCUUUUCGGACUUCUCACAUUUGUCACCAUCGGAAUGAUUAUAGGUGCUCUCUCGCAAUUGGCAUUCAUACGAAAAUUGGAAGAAUCAUAUGG
Long non-coding RNA from Gastrolobium bilobum, 750 nucleotides. RefSeq lists it as uncharacterized. The record is from RefSeq and is a predicted model, not a curated record. The transcript has 3 exons. NCBI's taxonomy places the organism in Eukaryota, Viridiplantae, Streptophyta, Magnoliopsida, Fabales, Fabaceae.